GAGUGAAACUCAAAGGAAUGUGCGGUGACCCGCACAAGUAGCGGAGCAUGGGGUGUAAUUCGAAGCAACGCGAAGAACCUUACCUAAGCUUGACAUCCCAAUGACAUCUCCUUAAUCGGAGAGUUCCCUUCGGGGACAUUGGUGACAGGUGGGGCAUGGUUGUCGUCAGCUCGUGUCGUGAGAUGUUGGGUUAAGUCCCGCAACGAGCGCAACCCUUGUCUUUAGUUGCCAUCAUUAAGUUGGGCACUCUAGAGAGACUGCCAGGGAUAACCUGGAGGAAGGUGGGGAUGACGUCAAAUCAUCAUGCCCC
Molecule: ribosomal RNA, 310 nt
Filed under: Clostridioides difficile
Lineage: Bacteria; Bacillati; Bacillota; Clostridia; Peptostreptococcales; Peptostreptococcaceae
Description: bacterial SSU rRNA
Rfam family: Bacterial small subunit ribosomal RNA
Source: RNAcentral